This 73-nucleotide transfer RNA is filed under the name Stegodyphus mimosarum. It matches the Rfam family "tRNA". Rfam says of the family: Transfer RNA (tRNA) molecules are approximately 80 nucleotides in length. Their secondary structure includes four short double-helical elements and three loops (D, anti-codon, and T loops). Further hydrogen bonds mediate the characteristic L-shaped molecular structure. tRNAs have two regions of fundamental functional importance: the anti-codon, which is responsible for specific mRNA codon recognition, and the 3' end, to which the tRNAs corresponding amino acid is attached (by aminoacyl-tRNA synthetases). tRNAs cope with the degeneracy of the genetic code in two manners: having more than one tRNA (with a specific anti-codon) for a particular amino acid; and 'wobble' base-pairing, i.e. permitting non-standard base-pairing at the 3rd anti-codon position. Lineage: Eukaryota; Metazoa; Arthropoda; Arachnida; Araneae; Eresidae. The record is from Rfam by way of RNAcentral.
GUCUUCUUGGUGUAGUGGUCAGCACGCUCGACGCGUAACCGAGAGGUCCGUGGUUCGAUUCCCGGCGAAGGCG